UACGUAGGGUCCGAGCGUUGUCCGGAGUUACUGGGCGUAAAGCGCGCGCAGGCGGCCCGGCAAGCAUGGCGUGAAAGCCCCCGGCUCAACCGGGGAGGGUCGUCGUGGACUGUCGGGCUUGAGGGCGGUAGGGGUUGGUGGAAUGCCCGGUGUAGUGGUGAAAUGCGUAGAGAUCGGGCGGAACGCCCGUGGCGAAGGCGGCCAACUGGGCCGACCCUGACGCUGAGGCGCGAAGGCGUGGGGAGCGAAC
RNAcentral lists this ribosomal RNA (250 nucleotides) under uncultured bacterium. RNAcentral describes it as "partial 16S ribosomal RNA". It matches the Rfam family "Bacterial small subunit ribosomal RNA", at positions 524 to 773 of the family's 1533-position model. The record is from RNAcentral.